This 638-nucleotide ribosomal RNA is filed under the name Pleurotus eryngii. RNAcentral's name for it is "eukaryotic LSU rRNA". The stretch from base 245 to 397 matches the Rfam family "5.8S ribosomal RNA". Lineage: Eukaryota; Fungi; Basidiomycota; Agaricomycetes; Agaricales; Pleurotaceae. The record is from RNAcentral.
AAGGAUCAUUAAUGAAUUCACUAUGGAGUUGUUGCUGGCCUCUAGGGGAAUGUGCACGCUUCACUAGUCUUUCAACCACCUGUGAACUUUUGAUAGAUCUGUGAAGUCGUCUCUCAAGUCGUUAGACUUGGUUUGCUGGGAUGUAAACGUCUCGGUGUGACUACGCAGUCUAUUUACUUAUAACACCCCAAAUGUAUGUCUACGAAUGUCAUUUAAAGGGCCUUGUGCCUAUAAACCAUAAUACAACUUUCAACAACGGAUCUCUUGGCUCUCGCAUCGAUGAAGAACGCAGCGAAUGCGAUAAGUAAUGUGAAUUGCAGAAUUCAGUGAAUCAUCGAAUCUUUGAACGCACCUUGCGCCCCUUGGUAUUCCGAGGGGCAUGCCUGUUUGAGUGUCAUUAAAUUCUCAAACUCACUCUGGUUUUUCCAAUUGUGAUGUUUGGAUUGUUGGGGGCUGCUGGCCUUGACAGGUCGGCUCCUCUUAAAUGCAUUAGCAGGACUUCUCAUUGCCUCUGCGCAUGAUGUGAUAACUAUCACUCAUCAAUAGCACGCAUGAAUAGAGUCUGGCUCUCUAACCGUCCGCAAGGACAAUUUGACAAUUUGACCUCAAAUCAGGUAGGACUACCCGCUGAACUUAAA